This 406-nucleotide ribosomal RNA is filed under the name uncultured bacterium. Its description in RNAcentral is "partial 16S ribosomal RNA". It matches the Rfam family "Bacterial small subunit ribosomal RNA", at positions 29 to 526 of the family's 1533-position model. The record is from RNAcentral.
AUUGAACGCUGGCGGCAGGCCUAACACAUGCACGUCGAGCGAGAGGCGGACGGGUGAGUAAUGUCUGGGAAAAUGCCUGAUGGAGGGGGAUAACUACGGGAAAAGGUAGCUAAUACCGCAUACAAUCAGAUAUGCACAGAUGGGAUUAGCUAGUAGGUGGGGUAACGGACCACCUAGGCGAAGAUCCCUAGCCGGUCUGGGAGGAUGACCAGCCACACUGGAACUGAUACACGGUCCAGACUCCUACGGGAGGCAGCAGUGGGGAAUAUUGCACAAUGGGCGCAAGCCUGAUGCAGCCAUGCCGCGUGUGUGAAGAAGGCCUUCGGGUUGUAAAGCACUUUCAGCGGGGAGGCGUUACCCGCAGAAGAAGCACCGGCUAACUCCGUGCCAGCAGCCGCGGUAAUAC